Long non-coding RNA from Physeter macrocephalus (sperm whale), 1927 nucleotides. RefSeq lists it as uncharacterized. NCBI's taxonomy places the organism in Eukaryota, Metazoa, Chordata, Mammalia, Artiodactyla, Physeteridae. The transcript is spliced from 5 exons. The record is from RefSeq and is a predicted model, not a curated record.
UCAGACUCGACUAAUUCCACUCAUAAAAUGCUCUCCUGUGAAGAUUGGAGCUUUGGGGCCGAAUCUGGCGUGGAGCGGGCCGCCGUCCCGAGAGGCUGGGCGGAGGGAUCAGCGCGCUCGUUGAGCGCUGCGUCCGCGGACUUGCCGGGGGCUCUACUUGAGGGGAGGGAGAAUGGGGAGCGGGCGGCGUGAAAACCCGGCGUGGAGUCGCCCAGACGUCCGGAUUGGGCUGUCUCCACCGCCCGGCCUCGAAGCCCCCUCCCCACGGCCCGGCCCCGCCGUUCGCGAGACCCGCCCUAGGCGGACCGGGGUCCGGCCUAGCGCCUCACGCCGAGUCGGGGUCCCGCUCCCCCAGCGCACACCCCGCCCUGCUCCUCCCCCCCGCGAAUAAAGAGGGGUGUUUAUUGUGAGUCACAUUUAGAUAACGGUAGUGUUUCUGCUGCCCUGAAUUUCCCCCUCAUCCUCAGCCCGUCGCGAGGCCUCUCUGGGAGUCCAGCCCCCAAACUUGUGGCGGCCGCGCCCAUCCCCCACCGGGCGGGCACCAGGACAAGACGAAUGACUCGACAAAUCCCAGGGCCGCGGCCUCAAGCCCGCCUCAGACGGGUCGUCAGGAGCCUCAGGAAUUCCUCAGAACACAGGAGUGAAAACUAAGUUUUCAAGGGAGAAAUGCCUAUGGCAGGUCUACAUUGAAUUUUGAAAAGAAAAGCAGAAAUUCCACACAGCUGUGUAAAACUCUUUGCGCUGGACUUGAAAGCUCACAGAACUUUCCAGAUUGCUCUUCAGCCUUCCUGUCCUGACUUGACGAUGGAGGGACAAGAAAACUCCCCUGCCUGACAUGGAGGAGGAACUGAUGAUGGAAGCUUAACAUCUACUCAAGAAUGAGGAAGAAGAAAGAAGUUUUCAGAGGAACAAAAAGCUGAGGUUCUUUCUCAGGUGACCAGACCUGGCUUCAAACCACACCCUGUUUGCUUUUGGCUGUUCCUGCAAGCCUUGUGAUUCCUGUUGUUUAAAGGCUGAGUCACGAGCUUUGUGACGUAGUUUUUUUCAUGGUCCAAAAGGGAGAAAUAACCUUCACGGAAGUUCCUUACAAAGAGAAGCUGUCACCAGUACUCCACUCCCUAACUGGACCCGUCCAUCAUAGCUCUGCAGCUGAAAUUCCAGCUGAUACCGGAACCAAGGAGCAAAGGGAGACAGACCUAUUCUUGAAUGCUGCUUCUCACAGACAGAAAAGAAGGAACAGAAAAUAAAAGUUUCUUUCCAAUAAAUAAGGACAUUGUCCCCAUUGCACCUCCACCCAGAAAUCUCCGGUUUCCUGGUCUUUAAAACCAUGCCAGCCUUUGGUGACUGUGAGGUUUGCAGACCGUUUAUUUUUCUUUUUCUUUUUCUCCAGCAAGAACUCUGAAUAUUGGGACUUCCCUGGUGGCGCAGUGGUUAAGAAUCCGCCUGCCAAUGCAGGGAACACGGAUUCGAGCCCUGGUCUGGGAAGAUCCCACAUGUCGCCGAGCAGCUAAGCCCGUGCGCCACAACUACUGAGCCUGCGCUCUAGAGACCGCGAGACACAACUACUGAGCCCGCAUGCCGCAACUACUGAAGCCUGCGCGCCUGGAGCCCGUGCUCCACCACAAGAGAAGCCACCGCAAUGAGAAGCCCGCGCAUCGCAACGAAGACCCAACGCAGACAAAAAAAAAAAGAGCUCUGAAUGUUAACAUGAACCCUCAGUGGAAAAGAAUCUGAAAAAGAAUAUAUACAUAUAUACGCUUGAAACUAACACAACACUUCAAUUAAAAAAAGAUAUGUUCAAAAAAAAAACCGAGCAAACUAAAGAAAACCAGAUCCACCCCCACUAAAACGCUGAGGAAGGAAGGAAUCUCUUUGUGAUAGGUCACCGAAAAGAGUCAUUCCUUAGCUGUCAAUUAGCACCUCUUUU